GGGAGGGAGAGUAGGAGGGAGAUGGAGGAUGUUGAAGGUCUGAUGAGGGGGCUGAAGCUAUCGGCGGCGGAGAGGAGGGGGCUAAGGAUCGGGCAAGCGAAGAAGGGGAAGGACUGUGUAUGGGCACUUGAUGAUCCACAAGCAGUAGGGAAACUACUCUCUGAGAAACCGGCACAUGCAGGCGUGUUGGGACAAACGCUUGGAAGAAUCUGGUUCCCUAUCAAGGGGCUUGAGUGUAAGGAACUGGAAACCAAUGUGUUCCUCUUCACCUUUCGCUAGGUGUAUGGAUGGAAGCGGGCCAUCGAGGAAGGGUCGUGGUGGUUCGACAAGGAGCUCCUUGUGAUGGAGGAGUUUGAUCCAGAGAAGACGGUGGAUGAGUACGAGUUUAAUUUGAUCCCCAUGUGGAUCCGUGUGUUCGGUCUGCCACUCGGAUAUAUGAACCGGGCGACUGGAGAGCGUAUUGGUGCUGACUUUCACGAUCUAGUUGAUGUGGAUGUGGGACAUGAUGGAAAGGCUGUGGGGAAGUAUUUGCGCGUGAAGGUCAAGCUGGAUAUUAAGGAAUCACUGAUGAGAGGAUUCGUGUUGGAUCGAGGGGAGAAGAAGGGAAGUGAUGAUGUAGAGGAAAUGGAGGUUACGGGUGACAUCAAGAAGAAGAAGAAAAAAAGACCUUUUUGUGGUGUCGAUUUGAGUACGAAUACUUGCCGGACUUCUGUUAUACGUGUGGUGUAA
RNAcentral lists this ribosomal RNA (729 nucleotides) under Triticum aestivum (bread wheat). RNAcentral describes it as "partial small subunit ribosomal RNA". The record is from RNAcentral. Lineage: Eukaryota; Viridiplantae; Streptophyta; Magnoliopsida; Poales; Poaceae.